CUUCCCAUUUAUUUGCUGCCUAUAGUCUCACAGUGAUAUGAGCAAUUAUACACGUGGGAUAAAAUAAUAUUGGUACACUGUGAAAUAAUCAUUUCAUCUCUUCUGCAUGGACUAGACAUUG
Small nucleolar RNA from Rhinopithecus bieti (black snub-nosed monkey), 121 nucleotides. The record is from Ensembl. Lineage: Eukaryota; Metazoa; Chordata; Mammalia; Primates; Cercopithecidae.